AGUUAACGUUGGCGGCGUGCCUAACACAUGCAAGUCGAACGCGUCCUAAGGGCAACUUUAGGAUGAGUGGCGAACGGGUGAGUAUCACGUGGGUAAUCUUCCUUCAAGUGGGGAAUAAGCUCUCGAAAGGGAGUCUAAUACCGCAUGACAUUCCGGGACACAAGUCCCGUAAUCAAAGCCGCAAGGCGCUUGAAGAUGAGCCUGCGUCCUAUUAGCUAGUUGGUGGGGUAACGGCCUACCAAGGCUUAGAUGGGUAGCCGGCCUGAGAGGGUGAACGGCCACACUGGGACUGAGACACGGCCCAGACUCCUACGGGAGGCAGCAGUGAGGAAUUUUGCGCAAUGGGGGAAACCCUGACGCAGCGACGCCGCGUGGAGGAUGAAGGCCUUCGGGUCGUAAACUCCUGUCAGAGGUGAAGAAUACCGCAAGGUUGACGGUAACCUCAGAGGAGCCCGGCUAACUACGUGCCAGCAGCCGCGGUAAAGUCGACGUCG
Molecule: ribosomal RNA, 494 nt
Filed under: uncultured bacterium
Lineage: Bacteria
Description: bacterial SSU rRNA
Rfam family: Bacterial small subunit ribosomal RNA
Source: RNAcentral